Long non-coding RNA from Alexandromys fortis (reed vole), 2251 nucleotides. RefSeq lists it as uncharacterized. Lineage: Eukaryota; Metazoa; Chordata; Mammalia; Rodentia; Cricetidae. The transcript is spliced from 3 exons. The record is from RefSeq and is a predicted model, not a curated record.
UCCCCUCCCCCUUCCCUCCCGAGAGCCUGAACUGCACGGGAAUCGGGAACAGAGGAAGGCAUCCUUUCCUUCUACAACACUUCCUGUUGUUCACGGUUUAUUUACUGGAUAAAUGUUUAUCCAGGCUCUAUUGUCCGCUAAGCCCCACGGUUGGCUCCGGAAACAACAGCGGUAUGGAAGGCAGAAUGCUGCCCUCCAGUCACCUACUUCCUAGUCAACAAAGUGACUUCUGGAAGUGCAGCUGUCUUGCUGAGGAGAAACAGAUCUGCCCGGAUCAAGGAAGACUUGACGUGAGAAAUGCCAAGCCAGGAGCAAUGCUAACUCUGACGGAGGAAACACAUACGAAGCCCAGAGACAGUGGACAGUUCACCAUGUCUAAGGAAGAAAGACCAGCAUGGCUGGAGGAGAGGCAUGGGAGCAGUGGGGAAUGUGGCCUUAACAGACCUCCCCAGCCAUUGUAGAGCUCGAUGUCGCCUGCGAGGACCCAGGGUUAUUUUUGCCUACCAUCAUUUCAUCCCACUCCUCCCAGACAAAGCUCUCCUGUGAGUCAUCUGGGGAACCCGGAGGCACUUGACGGCUGCUCAGCUGGUAUCUGGCCAUUCAGGAGGGAAGUAUUAAGAUUCCCUUGCACUUGGUUGGAGAAACAACACAAAUUUGUAAGCUGCUCAACAUUCAAGAAUCUAGAAUAUACAUCUAUGAUAAAUGCUUAGUAGGUGUAUGUCUGUUUAUUUUCACAAAUUCAGUAAAUAUUUGGGGACUAUGUACCAGACACUGUCUCAGGUUCUACACACACAACAGUGUAUAAAACCACACAGCCGCCCUUCUGUGGGGUUUGUCUUGGAUCACACAGCAGCACCCCGUCUUCAAGGCCUUGCUUUCCAUAGUCUCAGUUACCUAGUGUUGACUACAGUCCAAAAAAGUAUUAAAGGGAAAAGCCCAGAAACAGUGGAUGCGUUUUAAACUGCACGCUGUUCUGAACGUCAUGAAAUCUAGGCUGGCCUCAUGUGAGUUCUCUCUUUCUCCGGAGUAUCCGCGCAGUAUAUGCUCCCAUCUGGUAAUCUCUUAAUGCCUGUCUGGGUUAUCAGACAGAGAAAUAAAACAACCCGUAUCUAAUGGACUCAGUACUUCGCAGACAUCUACUCUAGGUCUUGGAUGUGUUCCCAGUGGGUGAGGAGGAGCAGUGAUUUCUGAAUGUGUACUUGCGGGUCAGGUGUUGGCAGAGGAGACAGCCAUGUAAUCAGAUAGGUGAAAUGAAAUAUAACAGGGACUUGGUGGAGGUGAAUCUGCACCGGGGUACGAUAAGGCAUGAAGAAGGAAGAGUCCUAAGCAGGCAAGCCAAUGAGGUAUUCAAUUGUGGGUGCCACUUUCCAGGUCACUAAGGGGAAGCUGUUGUGGGUUGAAACUAAACUCCACAAAAUUCAUACGUUUAGGGAUCCUAACAUGUGACCUUUCUCGGUUCCCCUUUCCUUUGGACUUUGGAAGUCUAGGUCAUAUUUGCCCCACUAGUUCAUUUUGAAAACGUGUAAUGCAUGGUCUAGUUUCAUAGUUGGAGAGAAACUUUCACUCAGGGAGAUCCAUACUUGAAGUUUAUCCAACACACGAUUUAGGUGAGCUAUUGAACUUACAGUUGAUACAGGAAAGAGUUAGGAUAUCUGUGGUUGUGAGAAUGGGCUGAAUAUAUUUGCCUAUGACAAUUACAUUUUGGGAGGUCAGGAGGAGGCACAUUACACAGUCUGAACAGAGGUCCCCCAAAAGUUACAUGUUACCGUCCAAUCCCUAGAACCUACCUAAGAUUCUGGGUGUCUUUAAGGACGUAAUCAUGCUAAAAUGAGGUCACUGGUAAGGGUGGGAACCUUAUGAAGAGGACAACAGGAUACAAAGACACAACGGGAGGUCUAUGUGAAGACAAAGGAGAAAACGUCCACCUACAAGUCAACCAGAGAAUCCUUGGAGGAAGGACCAAAUCCAACUCCUUGAUCUUGACUCCUGGCCUCCAGAAUUAUUGAAAACUAAUUCUCAAUUCUUGUCACCUAGUCUGUGGCACUUUAUCAGCCCUAAUAAACCAAUGGAGUGUUCUAGUUUCAUUUCUAUUGGUAUGAGAAAACUUCCUGACGAAAAGCAACUAAGGAGAGAAAGGGUUGACAACUCAGUUAGAACCCAUUGCAACAGAGCAGAAGUUAAGGACCAUCGCAUCACACCCAUCGUCAGAAACAGCGAAAAAAGUAUAUCUAUGUCGCCUGCUUCCUCUCAU